CCUACGGGUGGCAGCAGUGAGGAAUAUUGGUCAAUGGUCGGAAGUCUGAACCAGCCAAGCCGCGUGCGGGAUGACGGUACAGAGUAUCGUAAACCGCUUUUGUCAGGGGACAAAGGCGGGGACGUGUCCCCGGCUGAGUGUACCUGAAGAAAAAGCAUCGGCUAACUCCGUGCCAGCAGCCGCGGUAAUACGGAGGAUGCAAGCGUUAUCCGGAUUUAUUGGGUUUAAAGGGUGGGUAGGCGGAUUGUUAAGUUAGCGGUGAAAUGGCCGGGCUUAACCCGGGCACUGCCUCUAAAACUGGUGGUCUAGAGUGGGGGUGAGGUAGGCGGAAUGUGUGGUGUAGCGGUGAAAUGCAUAGAGAUCGCACAGAACUCCGAUUGCGAAGGCAGCUUACCGAUCUAACACUGACGUUGAGGCACGAAAGCGUGGGUAGCGAACAGGAUUAGAUACCCGGGUAGUC
RNAcentral lists this ribosomal RNA (460 nucleotides) under uncultured bacterium. RNAcentral describes it as "partial 16S ribosomal RNA". It matches the Rfam family "Bacterial small subunit ribosomal RNA", at positions 338 to 795 of the family's 1533-position model. The record is from RNAcentral.